RNAcentral lists this ribosomal RNA (395 nucleotides) under uncultured bacterium. RNAcentral describes it as "bacterial SSU rRNA". It matches the Rfam family "Bacterial small subunit ribosomal RNA", at positions 30 to 416 of the family's 1533-position model. The record is from RNAcentral.
AUUGAACGCUGGCGGCAUGCCUUACACAUGCAAGUCGAACGGCAGCACGGGGGGUAACCCCUGGUGGCGAGUGGCGAACGGGUGAGUAAUAUAUCGGAACAUGCCCUGUAGCGGGGGAUAACGCGUCGAAAGAUGUGCUAAUACCGCAUACGCUCUACGGAGGAAAGCGGGGGUUUUCGGGCAACUGAGGACCUCGCACUAUAGGAGUGGCCGAUAUCGGAUUAGCUAGUGGCGGGGUAAAGCCCACCAAGGCGACGAUCCGUAGCUGGUCUGAGAGGAUGAUCAGCCACACUGGAACUGAGACACGGUCCAGACUCCUACGGGAGGCAGCAGUGGGGAAUUUUGGACAAUGGGCGCAAGCCUGAUCCAGCCAUGCCGCGUGAGUGAAGAAGGCC